Ochotona princeps (American pika) is the source of this 424-nucleotide long non-coding RNA. RefSeq lists it as uncharacterized. The transcript has 2 exons. NCBI's taxonomy places the organism in Eukaryota, Metazoa, Chordata, Mammalia, Lagomorpha, Ochotonidae. The record is from RefSeq and is a predicted model, not a curated record.
ACACUCCUUGGAUACCAUCUGACCUUGAUUUCAUGCCAUAGUUUCUCACUGUUGCAACGCAUGGGGGACAGGGGGAAAGGCACCUGGUAAUUGCUGGAUUCAUGCUGUAUUGAUUCUAGAAGGUAGAGUUUCUGUUUUUGUGUGUCACCCUUCACUUCUGCCCCGGAAGAAUCAAGAUGUCUGAGAGAGGGAGAAGUCUGACUACUACAAAGGAUGAGAUGUGGACCCCCCUCCAGUCUGGGUGUUCCCCAAGACUGCGCCUGUUGGGUUUGGACGCUACAUUAAGGGAAGAUAAGACCUGAGGGUGCAAAUCUGACAGGAAUCAAUCAGAUAAAAUAAUAAGUUGAGCAGUUAUCCCAGCAAAAUGGGCCCACAGUUCUGGGUAUUAAUGAAGUAAUUACAUUAAACAAAUAUGCUUAAUCGA